This is a non-coding RNA of Paramuricea clavata, 814 nucleotides long. The record is from the annotation of a GenBank genome assembly. NCBI's taxonomy places the organism in Eukaryota, Metazoa, Cnidaria, Anthozoa, Malacalcyonacea, Plexauridae.
AAGAGCAAGUAUAUUUUCACAACACAAUGAGGAAUUUAAUGAAGCUUGCAAAUCUGCACGUCCACACGACGCACAAAUACAUCUAAAUAGUGAAAUUUGCAUAAUAAUUAACUUGUUUGUGCGAUAUAAAAACUCCAGAGCAGUGCCAGAGGAACCUAUUUGGUAUAAUAGUAUUUAGCAAGGGAGCUCCAAAGAAAUCUUCAACCUUGAACUUCGUUUCAUUACUGACUUCAAAUUGUAUUCCGCGUGAAAGCAGCAAGUGUGUUACUGUUAUUUGCAGCAAGCAACAAGAUGGUUUGCCUUAAAGUUUUCCCUGCAGUUCUGAUAAUAUUUUGUCAAGUCCAUGCAAACUUUGGUGCGCCUAAAAGCGAACUGGAGAUAAGGUAUGCUUAUCUGCAACUUACAACAUUUUGCAAACUAUUUCAUAGAACUGUGUUGUGAGCUAAAGGUUUGGAAAGAUUGUAAGACUUUCAAGGGAGUAACUAAUCAAAAUCUAGUCAAUCUUAUCCGAUUUAAGUUAAAAUGGAGAUAUAUAGAUGUAUCGGUCUCCACGUUCUGAACAAUUCUCCCUUAUGCCUGGUUAAAAUUUAUUGUUUAAAGUAUAAACAACAUAUUUGUAUCUGCGCCUAGCGCUAGAUACUACGCUAUCGAGUUGUGGGUGUCGCUGUGCGUGCGUUGAACACUUAGUUCGACUAAUUAGGGCUUGUACGCCUGCGAAUAGACCGUAAAACAAAGACGGUCGCUUUCUACAGAGUGAAGUGAAACUAUUUGUUUGACUCGAGGUUUGAUUUUGCCCGACUGCUAAAUUGUCCGA